GCUUUCGAGGUGUAGUGGUCAGCACGCUCGACCCGUAACCGAGAGGUCCGUGGUUCGAUUCCCGGCAAAGGCG
This 73-nucleotide transfer RNA is filed under the name Stegodyphus mimosarum. It matches the Rfam family "tRNA". Rfam says of the family: Transfer RNA (tRNA) molecules are approximately 80 nucleotides in length. Their secondary structure includes four short double-helical elements and three loops (D, anti-codon, and T loops). The record is from Rfam by way of RNAcentral. Lineage: Eukaryota; Metazoa; Arthropoda; Arachnida; Araneae; Eresidae.